Molecule: non-coding RNA, 73 nt
Organism: Phrynosoma platyrhinos (Desert horned lizard)
Lineage: Eukaryota; Metazoa; Chordata; Lepidosauria; Squamata; Phrynosomatidae
Source: the annotation of a GenBank genome assembly
AGCCAAUUGAGUGGAGUGGUUUAAGAGUUGGACUAGGACUCUGGAGAUCAGGGUUCGAAUCCCUGCUUGGCCA